UCACGGGAGACACACGGCGGGUGCUAACGUCCGUCGUGAAGAGGGAAACAACCCAGACCGCCAGCUAAGGUCCCAAAGUCAUGGUUAAGUGGGAAACGAUGUGGGAAGGCCCAGACAGCCAGGAUGUUGGCUUAGAAGCAGCCAUCAUUUAAAGAAAGCGUAAUAGCUCACUGGUCGAGUCGGCCUGCGCGGAAGAUGUAACGGGGCUAAACCAUGCACCGAAGCUGCGGCAGCGAACGUAUCACCCAAGACAACUUUACGGAGUUGACGAUUGACGGAGCGAAGCGACGUCAAAGCGUUCAUUAAAGUCGAGUUGGCUUAGGGAUACGUUCGUUGGGUAGGGGAGCGUUCUGUAAGCCUGUGAAGGUGUGUCGUGAGGCAUGCUGGAGGUAUCAGAAGUGCGAAUGCUGACAUAAGUAACGAUAAAGCGGGUGAAAAGCCCGCUCGCCGGAAGACCAAGGGUUCCUGUCCAACGUUAAUCGGGGCAGGGUGAGUCGACCCCUAAGGCGAGGCCGAAAGGCGUAGUCGAUGGGAAACGGGUUAAUAUUCCCGUACUUGGUGUUACUGCGAAGGGGGGACGGAGAAGGCUAUGUUGGCCGGGCGACGGUUGUCCCGGUUUAAGCGUGUAGGUGUGUGUUCCAGGUAAAUCCGGUUCACUUUAACACUGAGGCGUGAUGACGAGGCACUACGGUGCUGAAGCAACAAAUGCCCUGCUUCCAGGAAAAGCCUCUAAGCAUCAGGUAACAUCAAAUCGUACCCCAAACCGACACAGGUGGUCAGGUAGAGAAUACCAAGGCGCUUGAGAGAACUCGGGUGAAGGAACUAGGCAAAAUGGUGCCGUAACUUCGGGAGAAGGCACGCUGACACGUAGGUGAAGUGAUUUACUCACGGAGCUGAAGUCAGUCGAAGAUACCAGCUGGCUGCAACUGUUUAUUAAAAACACAGCACUGUGCAAACACGAAAGUGGACGUAUACGGUGUGACGCCUGCCCGGUGCCGGAAGGUUAAUUGAUGGGGUCAGCGCAAGCGAAGCUCCUGAUCGAAGCCCCGGUAAACGGCGGCCGUAACUAUAACGGUCCUAAGGUAGCGAAAUUCCUUGUCGGGUAAGUUCCGACCUGCACGAAUGGCGUAAUGA
This 1134-nucleotide ribosomal RNA is filed under the name Salmonella enterica subsp. enterica serovar Typhimurium. Its description in RNAcentral is "bacterial LSU rRNA". It matches the Rfam family "Bacterial large subunit ribosomal RNA", at positions 975 to 2007 of the family's 2925-position model. The record is from RNAcentral. Lineage: Bacteria; Pseudomonadati; Pseudomonadota; Gammaproteobacteria; Enterobacterales; Enterobacteriaceae.